This 1322-nucleotide ribosomal RNA is filed under the name Latilactobacillus curvatus. RNAcentral describes it as "bacterial SSU rRNA". It matches the Rfam family "Bacterial small subunit ribosomal RNA", at positions 60 to 1343 of the family's 1533-position model. Lineage: Bacteria; Bacillati; Bacillota; Bacilli; Lactobacillales; Lactobacillaceae. The record is from RNAcentral.
AGUCGAACGCACUCUCGAUAGAUUGAAGAAGCUUGCUUCUGAUUGAUAACAUUUGAGUGAGUGGCGGACGGGUGAGUAACACGUGGGUAACCUGCCCUAAAGUGGGGGAUAACAUUUGGAAACAGAUGCUAAUACCGCAUAAAACCUAGCACCGCAUGGUGCAAGGUUGAAAGAUGGUUUCGGCUAUCACUUUAGGAUGGACCCGCGGUGCAUUAGUUAGUUGGUGAGGUAAAGGCUCACCAAGACCGUGAUGCAUAGCCGACCUGAGAGGGUAAUCGGCCACACUGGGACUGAGACACGGCCCAGACUCCUACGGGAGGCAGCAGUAGGGAAUCUUCCACAAUGGACGAAAGUCUGAUGGAGCAACGCCGCGUGAGUGAAGAAGGUUUUCGGAUCGUAAAACUCUGUUGUUGGAGAAGAACGUAUUUGAUAGUAACUGAUCAGGUAGUGACGGUAUCCAACCAGAAAGCCACGGCUAACUACGUGCCAGCAGCCGCGGUAAUACGUAGGUGGCAAGCGUUGUCCGGAUUUAUUGGGCGUAAAGCGAGCGCAGGCGGUUUCUUAAGUCUGAUGUGAAAGCCUUCGGCUCAACCGAAGAAGUGCAUCGGAAACUGGGAAACUUGAGUGCAGAAGAGGACAGUGGAACUCCAUGUGUAGCGGUGAAAUGCGUAGAUAUAUGGAAGAACACCAGUGGCGAAGGCGGCUGUCUGGUCUGUAACUGACGCUGAGGCUCGAAAGCGUGGGUAGCAAACAGGAUGAGAUACCCUGGUAGUCCAUGCCGUAAACGAUGAGUGCUAGGUGUUGGAGGGUUUCCGCCCUUCAGUGCCGCAGCUAACGCUUUAAGCACUCCGCCUGGGGAGUACGACCGCAAGGUUGAAUCUCAAAGGAAUUGACAGGGGGCCCGCACAAGCGGUGGAGCAUGUGGUUUAAUUCGAAGCAACGCGAAGAACCUUACCAGGUCUUGACAUCCUUUGACCACUCAAGAGAUAGAGCUUUCCCUUCGGGGACAAAGUGACAGGUGGUGCAUGGUUGUUGUCAGCUCGUGUCUUGAGAUGUUGGGUUAAGUCCCGCAACGAGCGCAACCCUUAUUACUAGUUGCCAGCAUUUAGUUGGGCACUCUAGUGAGACUGCCGGUGACAAACCGGAGGAAGGUGGGGACGACGUCAAAUCAUCAUGCCCCUUAUGACCUGGGCUACACACUUGCUACAAUGGAUGGUACAACGAGUCGCGAGACCGCGAGGUUUAGCUAAUCUCUUAAAACCAUUCUCAGUUCGGAUUGUAGGCUGCAACUCGCCUACAUGAAGCCGGAAUCGCUAGUAAUC